RNAcentral lists this ribosomal RNA (274 nucleotides) under uncultured bacterium. Its description in RNAcentral is "partial 16S ribosomal RNA". It matches the Rfam family "Bacterial small subunit ribosomal RNA", at positions 523 to 796 of the family's 1533-position model. The record is from RNAcentral.
AUACGGAGGGUGCAAGCGUUGUUCGGAAUCACUGGGCGUAAAGGGCGCGCAGGCGGUUUGGUAAGUCGGAUGUGAAAGCCCACGGCUCAACCGUGGAAGUGCAUUUGAAACUGCCAGACUUGAGUACCAGAGGGGAAAGUGGAAUUCCCGGUGUAGAGGUGAAAUUCGUAGAUAUCGGGAGGAAUACCGGUGGCGAAGGCGACUUUCUGGCUGGAUACUGACGCUGAGGCGCGAAAGCGUGGGGAGCAAACAGGAUUAGAAACCCCAGUAGUCC